UCUCAAGUAGCUCAACUGGUUAGAGCACCCGACUGUUAAUCGGGAGGUUAUAGGUUCGACCCCUAUCUUGAGAG
This 74-nucleotide transfer RNA is filed under the name Wenyingzhuangia sp. 2_MG-2023. RNAcentral describes it as "tRNA-Asn". It matches the Rfam family "tRNA". From Rfam's summary of the family: Transfer RNA (tRNA) molecules are approximately 80 nucleotides in length. Their secondary structure includes four short double-helical elements and three loops (D, anti-codon, and T loops). Lineage: Bacteria; Pseudomonadati; Bacteroidota; Flavobacteriia; Flavobacteriales; Flavobacteriaceae. The record is from RNAcentral.